AUUGAACGCUGGCGGCAGGCCUAACACAUGCAAGUCGAGCGGUAGCACAGAGAGCUUGCUCUCGGGUGACGAGCGGCGGACGGGUGAGUAAUGUCUGGGAAACUGCCUGAUGGAGGGGGAUAACUACUGGAAACGGUAGCUAAUACCGCAUAACGUCGCAAGACCAAAGUGGGGGACCUUCGGGCCUCAUGCCAUCAGAUGUGCCCAGAUGGGAUUAGCUAGUAGGUGGGGUAACGGCUCACCUAGGCGACGAUCCCUAGCUGGUCUGAGAGGAUGACCAGCCACACUGGAACUGAGACACGGUCCAGACUCCUACGGGAGGCAGCAGUGGGGAAUAUUGCACAAUGGGCGCAAGCCUGAUGCAGCCAUGCCGCGUGUGUGAAGAAGGCCUUCGGGUUGUAAAGCACUUUCAGCGGGGAGGAAGGCGGUGAGGUUAAUAACCUCAUCGAUUGACGUUACCCGCAGAAGAAGCACCGGCUAACUCCGUGCCAGCAGCCGCGGUAAUACGGAGAGUGCAAGCGUUAAUCGGAAUUACUGGGCGUAAAGCGCACGCAGGCGGUCUGUCAAGUCGGAUGUGAAAUCCCCGGGCUCAACCUGGGAACUGCAUUCGAAACUGGCAGGCUAGAGUCUUGUAGAGGGGGGUAGAAUUCCAGGUGUAGCGGUGAAAUGCGUAGAGAUCUGGAGGAAUACCGGUGGCGAAGGCGGCCCCCUGGACAAAGACUGACGCUCAGGUGCGAAAGCGUGGGGAGCAAACAGGAUUAGAUACCCUGGUAGUCCACGCCGUAAACGAUGUCGAUUUGGAGGUUGUGCCCUUGAGGCGUGGCUUCCGGAGCUAACGCGUUAAAUCGACCGCCUGGGGAGUACGGCCGCAAGGUUAAAACUCAAAUGAAUUGACGGGGGCCCGCACAAGCGGUGGAGCAUGUGGUUUAAUUCGAUGCAACGCGAAGAACCUUACCUGGUCUUGACAUCCACAGAACUUUCCAGAGAUGGAUUGGUGCCUUCGGGAACUGUGAGACAGGUGCUGCAUGGCUGUCGUCAGCUCGUGUUGUGAAAUGUUGGGUUAAGUCCCGCAACGAGCGCAACCCUUAUCCUUUGUUGCCAGCGGUCCGGCCGGGAACUCAAAGGAGACUGCCAGUGAUAAACUGGAGGAAGGUGGGGAUGACGUCAAGUCAUCAUGGCCCUUACGACCAGGGCUACACACGUGCUACAAUGGCAUAUACAAAGAGAAGCGACCUCGCGAGAGCAAGCGGACCUCAUAAAGUAUGUCGUAGUCCGGAUUGGAGUCUGCAACUCGACUCCAUGAAGUCGGAAUCGCUAGUAAUCGUAGAUCAGAAUGCUACGGUGAAUACGUUCCCGGGCCU
This 1361-nucleotide ribosomal RNA is filed under the name uncultured bacterium. RNAcentral describes it as "bacterial SSU rRNA". It matches the Rfam family "Bacterial small subunit ribosomal RNA", at positions 28 to 1381 of the family's 1533-position model. The record is from RNAcentral.